UACGAAGGGGGCUAGCGUUGUUCGGAAUUACUGGGCGUAAAGCGCACGUAGGCGGCUUUGUAAGUUAGAGGUGAAAGCCCAGGGCUUAACCCUGGAAUUGCCUUUAAGACUGCAUCGCUAGAAUUGUGGAGAGGUAAGUGGAAUUCCGAGUGUAGAGGUGAAAUUCGUAGAUAUUCGGAAGAACACCAGUGGCGAAGGCGGCUCACUGGCCCGUUACCGACGCUCAGGCGCGACAGCGUGGGGAGCAAACAGG
RNAcentral lists this ribosomal RNA (253 nucleotides) under uncultured bacterium. RNAcentral's name for it is "partial 16S ribosomal RNA". It matches the Rfam family "Bacterial small subunit ribosomal RNA", at positions 524 to 776 of the family's 1533-position model. The record is from RNAcentral.